Candidatus Nomurabacteria bacterium is the source of this 71-nucleotide non-coding RNA. Lineage: Bacteria; Candidatus Nomuraibacteriota. The record is from Rfam.
GCGGCCAUAAUUUAGUGGUAAAAUACGGUCUUGCCAAGACUGAGAUAGGAGUUCGAUUCUCCUUGGCCGCA